RNAcentral lists this long non-coding RNA (313 nucleotides) under Rattus norvegicus (Norway rat). RNAcentral describes it as "long non-coding RNA NONRATT012356". Lineage: Eukaryota; Metazoa; Chordata; Mammalia; Rodentia; Muridae. The record is from RNAcentral.
AGGUUUUGCCUUUGGCGUUCAACAACUUCACCCGGCCCUUAUCCAGAGACCUUUUGGGUAAGUCAAUUCACCAAGCCCUCCAAAGUUACAACACGGUCACCAUUUGUUUCCCUGCCUCUUUGUUAUAAACAGACGAGGUCGAUAUGUCACAGAAGUUCCGGGGUUUUACAUAUUUAUAUAUGCUCAUGUAUUUUUUUUAAUGCUGAUACUAUAAAUAUUUUUAGAUGAGUCAAGUUAUCUGACCAAGUAUGCAGUCUCCAAACCAGCCAAAUGUUGGGCUUAGGAUUAAACAAAACAAAACAAAACAAACAAA